GAUGAACGCUGGCGGCGUGCCUAAUACAUGCAAGUAGAACGCUGAAGGAGGAGCUUGCUCUUCUGGAUGAGUUGCGAACGGGUGAGUAACGCGUAGGUAACCUGCCUGGUAGCGGGGGAUAACUAUUGGAAACGAUAGCUAAUACCGCAUGACAACAGUUAUUGCAUGAUAACUGUUUAAAAGGGGCAACUGCUCCACUACCAGAUGGACCUGCGUUGUAUUAGCUAGUUGGUGAGGUAAAGGCUCACCAAGGCGACGAUACAUAGCCGACCUGAGAGGGUGAUCGGCCACACUGGGACGGAGACACGGCCCAGACUCCUACGGGAGGCAGCAGUAGGGAAUCUUCGGCAAUGGACGGAAGUCUGACCGAGCAACGCCGCGUGAGUGAAGAAGGUUUUCGGAUCGUAAAGCUCUGUUGUAAGAGAAGAACGAGUGUGAGAGUGGAAAGUUCACACUGUGACGGUAUCUUACCAGAAAGGGACGGCUAACUACGUG
This 495-nucleotide ribosomal RNA is filed under the name uncultured bacterium. Its description in RNAcentral is "partial 16S ribosomal RNA". It matches the Rfam family "Bacterial small subunit ribosomal RNA", at positions 28 to 507 of the family's 1533-position model. The record is from RNAcentral.